Molecule: long non-coding RNA, 545 nt
Filed under: Lathyrus oleraceus (garden pea)
Lineage: Eukaryota; Viridiplantae; Streptophyta; Magnoliopsida; Fabales; Fabaceae
Description: Pisum sativum (pea) long non-coding RNA (PSAT_LNC022267)
Source: RNAcentral
CAUAGAGAAGAGAUAAAACAUGGCUUUAAUUCCCAAGUUCAUUUAUAUUAUCAUUACUUUUAUUUACUUAUUUUUUAUGGUAAUCAACGGCAGUAAGUUAUUUUCAAACUACUUUCAAUUUUUUCUUAUUUAAUUUGUAUUUAAUUCUUAAUCAUUUUUAGUGACUUUGAUUCUUAUUUAACAUUGCAGUUCAAUUUCCUUCGGCUCAAUUUCCCUGCAAUGAUGCGAGUGAUUGUCCAAGAGAUUUGUGUAUCCGCAAUAGUCUAACUAUAAAGUGCGUUAACUAUACUUGUGAGUGUGUAUAAACUUUACAAUUAUAUUGAAAAUAAGUCUAUAUUAUACUUUCUAAGCAUAUAAAUAUAUUUUUACGUUAUGCUAAAAAAAUAUACUUUCUAAGCAUAUAAAUAUAUUUUUACGUUAUGCUAAAAAAAAAAUAUAUAUUAAAUAAGUCAAAUAUUUUAAAUAAAUUAGUGGUUGUGAUUAACUGACAGUGUAAAAAUUCUUUAUACGGUUAAUGUAUAUUAAUUAAUUUCAUAUAUAUAUAU